AGUCGACGGCAGCACGGAGCUUGCUCUGGUGGCGAGUGGCGAACGGGUGAGUAAUAUAUCGGAACGUACCCUGGAGUGGGGGAUAACGUAGCGAAAGUUACGCUAAUACCGCAUACGAUCUAAGGAUGAAAGUGGGGGAUCGCAAGACCUCAUGCUCGUGGAGCGGCCGAUAUCUGAUUAGCUAGUUGGUAGGGUAAAAGCCUACCAAGGCAUCGAUCAGUAGCUGGUCUGAGAGGACGACCAGCCACACUGGAACUGAGACACGGUCCAGACUCCUACGGGAGGCAGCAGUGGGGAAUUUUGGACAAUGGGCGCAAGCCUGAUCCAGCAAUGCCGCGUGAGUGAAGAAGGCCUUCGGGUUGUAAAGCUCUUUUGUCAGGGAAGAAACGGUGAGGGCUAAUAUCCYUUGCUAAUGACGGUACCUGAAGAAUAAGCACCGGCUAACUACGUGCCAGCAGCCGCGGUAAUACGUAGGGUGCAAGCGUUAAUCGGAAUUACUGGGCGUAAAGCGUGCGCAGGCGGUUUUGUAAGUCUGAUGUGAAAUCCCCGGGCUCAACCUGGGAAUUGCAUUGGAGACUGCAAGGCUAGAAUCUGGCAGAGGGGGGUAGAAUUCCACGUGUAGCAGUGAAAUGCGUAGAUAUGUGGAGGAACACCGAUGGCGAAGGCAGCCCCCUGGGUCAAGAUUGACGCUCAUGCACGAAAGCGUGGGGAGCAAACAGGAUUAGAUACCCUGGUAGUCCACGCCCUAAACGAUGUCUACUAGUUGUCGGGUCUUAAUUGACUUGGUAACGCAGCUAACGCGUGAAGUAGACCGCCUGGGGAGUACGGUCGCAAGAUUAAAACUCAAAGGAAUUGACGGGGACCCGCACAAGCGGUGGAUGAUGUGGAUUAAUUCGAUGCAACGCGAAAAACCUUACCUACCCUUGACAUGGCUGGAAUCCU
Molecule: ribosomal RNA, 942 nt
Filed under: Janthinobacterium sp. THA1.4
Lineage: Bacteria; Pseudomonadati; Pseudomonadota; Betaproteobacteria; Burkholderiales; Oxalobacteraceae
Description: bacterial SSU rRNA
Rfam family: Bacterial small subunit ribosomal RNA
Source: RNAcentral